UUACCGUUGACCUCGGAUCAGGUAGGAGUACCCGCUGAACUUAAGCAUAUCAAUAAGCGGAGGA
Molecule: ribosomal RNA, 64 nt
Filed under: Roccella tuberculata
Lineage: Eukaryota; Fungi; Ascomycota; Arthoniomycetes; Arthoniales; Roccellaceae
Description: partial large subunit ribosomal RNA
Rfam family: Eukaryotic large subunit ribosomal RNA (bases 8-64)
Source: RNAcentral